RNAcentral lists this long non-coding RNA (307 nucleotides) under Mytilus galloprovincialis (Mediterranean mussel). The record is from RNAcentral. Lineage: Eukaryota; Metazoa; Mollusca; Bivalvia; Mytilida; Mytilidae.
UGUGGCUGUCUCUAGUCUCUGUCAUUUGUUGAUGUGUUACAUACUUGUUUUUCAUUCAUUUUGUACAUAAAUUGGUCAGUUAGUUGUCUUGUUCAAAUAGUUUUAUAUUUGUAAUUUUGGGGCCUUUUAUAGCAGACUAUGCAGUACCGAUAUGGACUUUGCUUAUUGUUGAAUGCUGUAAGGUGACCUAUAGUUGUUAAUUUCUGUGUCAUUUUGGUCUCUUAUGGAGAGUUGUCUCAUUGGAAAUCAUACCACAUUUUCUUUUUUAUACAUAUUGUUCAACUAAAUAAGAUAAAAUUUGUUGAAG